Molecule: ribosomal RNA, 2876 nt
Filed under: Stenotrophomonas maltophilia
Lineage: Bacteria; Pseudomonadati; Pseudomonadota; Gammaproteobacteria; Lysobacterales; Lysobacteraceae
Description: bacterial LSU rRNA
Rfam family: Bacterial large subunit ribosomal RNA
Source: RNAcentral
UCAAGCGAAUAAGCGCACACGGUGGAUGCCUUGGCGGUCAGAGGCGAUGAAGGACGUGGCAGCCUGCGAAAAGUAUCGGGGAGCUGGCAACAAGCUUUGAUCCGGUAAUGUCCGAAUGGGGAAACCCACCCGCUUGCGGGUAUCCUGCAGUGAAUACAUAGCUGCUGGAAGCGAACCUGGUGAACUGAAAUAUCUAAGUAACCAGAGGAAAAGAAAUCAACCGAGAUUCCGUAAGUAGCGACGAGCGAACGCGGACUAGCCCUUAAGCUGAUUUGGUUCUAGGAAAACGCUCUGGAAAGAGCGGCCAUAGAAGGUGAUAGCCCUGUAUCUGAAAGGGCCAUUUCAGUGAAGACGAGUAGGGCGGGGCACGUGAAACCCUGUCUGAACAUGGGGGGACCAUCCUCCAAGGCUAAAUACUACUGACCGACCGAUAGUGAACCAGUACCGUGAGGGAAAGGCGAAAAGAACCCCGGAGAGGGGAGUGAAAUAGAACCUGAAACCGUGUGCGUACAAGCAGUAGGAGCUCCGCAAGGAGUGACUGCGUACCUUUUGUAUAAUGGGUCAGCGACUUACUGUUCGUGGCAAGCUUAACCGUAUAGGGGAGGCGAAGGGAAACCGAGUCUGAUAAGGGCGCAUAGUCGCGGGCAGUAGACCCGAAACCGGGUGAUCUAGUCAUGCCCAGGGUGAAGGUGCGGUAACACGCACUGGAGGCCCGAACCCACUCCCGUUGCAAAGGUAGGGGAUGAGGUGUGAUUAGGAGUGAAAAGCUAAUCGAACCCGGAGAUAGCUGGUUCUCCUCGAAAGCUAUUUAGGUAGCGCCUCAUAUGUAUCCUCUCGGGGGUAGAGCACUGUUAUGGCUAGGGGGUCAUCGCGACUUACCAAACCAUUGCAAACUCCGAAUACCGAGACGGACUGUAUGGGAGACACACGGCGGGUGCUAACGUCCGUCGUGAAAAGGGAAACAACCCAGACCCACAGCUAAGGUCCCAAAUUUUGUGCUAAGUGGAAAACCAUGUGGAAAGGCACAGACAGCCAGGAGGUUGGCUUAGAAGCAGCCACCCUUUAAAGAAAGCGUAAUAGCUCACUGGUCGAGUCGGUCUGCGGGGAAGAUUUAACGGGGCUAAGCACAGAACCGAAGCUUGGGGUGCAUACUUUGUAUGCGCGGUAGAGGAGCGUUCCGUAAGCCGUUGAAGGUGGAUUGAGAAGUCUGCUGGAGGUAUCGGAAGUGCGAAUGCUGACAUGAGUAACGAUAAUGCGGGUGAAAAACCCGCACGCCGAAAGCCCAAGGUUUCCUUGCGCAACGUUAAUCGGCGCAGGGUGAGUCGGCCCCUAAGGCGAGGACGAAAGUCGUAGUCGAUGGGAAGCAGGUUAAUAUUCCUGCACCUCGCGUAAGUGCGAUGGAGGGACGGAGAAGGUUAGGUGUACCAGGCGUUGGUUGUCCUGGGGAAAGGCGGUAGGUUUGGAUCUUUGGCAAAUCCGGGAUCCUCUAAGACCGAGCACCGAGACGAGCCUUUAAGGCGAAGUCACUGAUACCACGCUUCCAGGAAAAGCUCCUAAGCUUCAGCUUACGCAGACCGUACCGUAAACCGACACAGGUGGGUAGGAUGAGAAUUCUCAGGCGCUUGAGAGAACUCGGGUGAAGGAACUAGGCAACAUGGCACCGUAACUUCGGGAGAAGGUGCACCCUUUUUGGUGGCUCGUGCGAGCUAUAGCUGAAGAGGGUCGCAGUAACCAGGCCGCUGCGACUGUUUAUCAAAAACACAGCACUCUGCAAACACGAAAGUGGACGUAUAGGGUGUGACGCCUGCCCGGUGCUGGAAGGUUAAUUGAUGGGGUCAGCCGCAAGGCGAAGCUCUUGAUCGAAGCCCCAGUAAACGGCGGCCGUAACUAUAACGGUCCUAAGGUAGCGAAAUUCCUUGUCGGGUAAGUUCCGACCUGCACGAAUGGCGUAACGACAGCGGCGCUGUCUCCACCCGAGACUCAGUGAAAUUGAAAUCGCUGUGAAGAUGCAGCGUUCCCGUGGCAAGACGGAAAGACCCCGUGAACCUUUACUAUAGCUUUACACUGAACGUUGAGUUCGUCUGUGUAGGAUAGGUGGGAGGCUAUGAAACUGUGGCGCUAGCUGCAGUGGAGCCAUCCUUGAAAUACCACCCUGUCGUGCUUGACGUUCUAACCUGGGCCCAUUAUCUGGGUCGGGGACCGUGUAUGGUGGGUAGUUUGACUGGGGCGGUCUCCUCCUAAAGAGUAACGGAGGAGCUCGAAGGUACGCUCAGCGCGGUCGGACAUCGCGCACUGUGUGCAAAGGCAUAAGCGUGCUUGACUGCAAGAUCGACGGAUCAAGCAGGUAGGAAACUAGGACUUAGUGAUCCGGUGGUUCUGUAUGGAAGGGCCAUCGCUCAACGGAUAAAAGGUACUCCGGGGAUAACAGGCUGAUACCGCCCAAGAGUUCAUAUCGACGGCGGUGUUUGGCACCUCGAUGUCGGCUCAUCACAUCCUGGGGCUGUAGUCGGUCCCAAGGGUAUGGCUGUUCGCCAUUUAAAGUGGUACGCGAGCUGGGUUCAGAACGUCGUGAGACAGUUCGGUCCCUAUCUGCCAUGGGCGUUGGAGAUUUGAGAGGGGCUGCUCCUAGUACGAGAGGACCGGAGUGGACGAACCUCUGGUGUUCCGGUUGUCACGCCAGUGGCAUUGCCGGGUAGCUAUGUUCGGAAGCGAUAACCGCUGAAAGCAUCUAAGCGGGAAGCGCGCCUCAAGAUGAGAUCUCCCGGGGCACAAGCCCCCUGAAGGAACCAUGUAGACUACGUGGUUGAUAGGUCAGGUGUGUAAGUACAGCAAUGUAUUGAGCUAACUGAUACUAAUGAUCCGAGAGGCUUGACCAU